AUGUCAUCGUCUCCUUUGUCCAUAGCUGAUUCCGAGCUUUCAGGCUCCUCCUCAUGCCAGCUUGUCUGUCUCCAGGAGACUAAGUUGGAUUGUGUCGACAGAUUUACGGCUACCUUCCUUGGGGGAAAUAGGUUGUGAAAUUUCGCGCAGCGUCCAGCUUUGGGGACAAGGGGUGGGAUGCUCCUGCUUUGGGAUGAUGUUGUUUUGAAGGUCACUGACAUAACAACCUCAGCAUUUUGCCUCUCGGCCUUGGUCCGAAUUCACGAGAAUGACAUAUGUUUCAGGAUUACAAAUGUCUAUGGGCCCACAGAGCAUGCAUCCAAGGAUGCUUUUUUUGACGAGCUUCGUUCCAGCAAGCCCCUCGCGGGUGUGGCCUGGCUCGCUCUUGGGGAUUUUAACCAAAUCUAUCGGGCGAGGGACAAAAACAAACGAAACGUUAAUUGGUAUUAGAUCAACCGGUUUCAUGCUGCUCUGCAUGAUUGUCAGCUUAAGGAAAUUCAUCUUCAGAAUAGACUGUUCACGUGAAGCAAUGAGAGAGAAAACUCAACUCUCUGCAAGUUAGACUCUUUCUUCUGUAGCAUGAAGUGGGACACCUCCUUCAACACACAUGUGUUGAAUGCUUUAUCAUCCCCCCUAUCCGAUCAUUGUCCUCUCCUGCUUGCCGACGACAAGGGCCCUAGGCGGCCACGGGCUUUCAAGUUCGAGAAUUUUUUGAUAUUGCCCGUAUUCAAGGAGGUGGUCAAAAAUGCUUGGGACGAGCGGGUGUGUCACACCGAGCCUUACCAGAUUUUGCAUCUCAAGCUUAAGAAAAUUGUGCUUCGGCUUAUCGAAUGGAGCAAGAAUCUGUUCUCCAAGGCAUGGAUUCAACUUAAUGCUGCCCACCUUGUGAUCCUUCAGCUUGACAUUGCACAGGACGGGAGACAGUUAUCACUGGAGGAGCGGGACCUUAGCUCUAGGCUCAAAUGCAGAGUCAUCAUUCUGGCAGUGCUAGAGAGGGCUCGAAAGAGCCAGUGUGCUAGGAUUGCAAAUUUGAGAGAUGGUGAUCCUAAUACCAAAUUCUUCCACUGGCACAUCAACGCCCGUAGGAGAAAAACCCACAUCCAUCGGAUCAAGCACGAGCAGGGGUGGGUAACCGAGCACGAGGAAAAGGAGAAGAUCAUACACGAUCACUUCCGUGAGGUGAUGGGUAGUGGUUGCACGAGCAACAAGGACUUCAAUUGGGGGGAGAUCAAUAUCGAGCACUGA
Molecule: ribosomal RNA, 1245 nt
Filed under: Triticum aestivum (bread wheat)
Lineage: Eukaryota; Viridiplantae; Streptophyta; Magnoliopsida; Poales; Poaceae
Description: partial small subunit ribosomal RNA
Source: RNAcentral